AUCUAGCUGACGAAUCCCAAAUGGGGCGAAACGUUGGUCCUGUAU
Non-coding RNA from Schistosoma margrebowiei, 45 nucleotides. NCBI's taxonomy places the organism in Eukaryota, Metazoa, Platyhelminthes, Trematoda, Strigeidida, Schistosomatidae. The record is from Rfam.